RNAcentral lists this long non-coding RNA (2651 nucleotides) under Panax ginseng (ginseng). Its description in RNAcentral is "long non-coding RNA (PGIN_LNC015212)". The record is from RNAcentral. Lineage: Eukaryota; Viridiplantae; Streptophyta; Magnoliopsida; Apiales; Araliaceae.
UUGAACCACUUUCACCAACUCUCCAUGUGUCCAUUGAUUAUUUUGUCCAACACUUUGUUUAUUAAUCUUGCAAGCAACCACUUGGAUAUUGCUAAGGGGAAAGAAAGAGAGAAUUAGUGGGAGAGUAAGGCCAUAUGGCCGGACCAUGCUCUAGAUGAAAAGGAGAUUGGGAGAUAACAAAAUAUAUCUAUAGAUUUUCCAACACUUAGAUCAUAUUUUUCCCUUUCAUCACUUUUAUUAUUCUUGCUAGAACACAAGAAAAAGAGAGAGGGAGAGAGAAGAGGAGGCCAUGUUCGGCCAUCCUAAGAGGAGAAGGAGGAGAUUUUGAUGUUCAUACAAUCAAGAUCCAUCCAUGGAAGGAAGAAAGAAGGAGAAGAAAUCAAGCAAAGGUAUAAAUCCUUUUUGUUUAGUUAAUUUUUGAUGGUUGUAAAUCAAACCUUGAAUCCAUAGUUCUCAACUCAAAAACUAUGUAUAUACAUGUUGAGGAGUGUAUCAUGUUUAGAUCUAACAAUAUUGGGUGUUGAUUUUGGUUGGAAUCAAAUGUAUAAAAUUUCCUAAACUCAAAACUCUAAUUAGUUUAUGUGUUUUGUGAUGGUUGUUUUAGACCAAGUGUUGAACUUAUGAUCCAUAUGAGGGAAGAUCUACAUGAUAUAUGAUAUUUUAUGGUUAGAUCUUGCCAUUUUUAGGGUUGAUAGGCUUGAACAAAGAAGAUGAACCAAAACAGUUUUUUUGUUUUAAAUGAAUUAGUGGACUGCUGCCCUAAACAGAACAUUUCGGAUUUGUUAGGGUGCUCAAAAAAUUCUGGACUUGUGAUAUGUUAUAGUACACUCAAUAAGCUUUCCAUAGACUCCGAAACGGACUAAAUCCGAUAUCGGAGGAGCAAGUUAUGGGAUUUUUACCAAACUACACAAAGUUAAGAAAAACUGUUAAAAGGACAGAUUUGAACAGUCACUUCCGGGCUAAAUUCUGGGAGCUUAACAUGUCCAAAUAUGGAUUGUGAUAGAUGAAAAUUGUAAUUCGGAAAGAUACAAAUCCAACAAAAUUGACGGAUCAUUAAUCGGAGUUACAGAUUUCGCUUUAUAUAAGUUUUAGCAAAGGACUCCAAAACUGCCAAAGUGCAAAAAGUUUCUGGCCAAAUUUUUCCGAGGGCUGUUUUGGACAUUUAGUUAAUGAGAAAAAUUACAGGCUUUUGGGAAAUGAAAAUAUAUGGUAAUAUGUAGCUCGUGUCCAAAAAUGAGCUAAUUUCAGCUUAAAACGACCAAGUUAUGACCAUUUCAAUUUUUGUGAUUUUCCGACGGAAAUCGCUAUAACCGGAGUUCUACAACUCCGAUUGCCGCGAAAUUUAACAUGGAACAUCACGUUAACAUAUAUAAGGUUAUGUCAAAAGAUGGGCAUCUCUGGAGUUAAGCACGAGGUAGCUAAUUUUCUUAAGUCACGCACUAAUUAUGAUUUUUGAAAAAUAGUAAAAGAAAUUGAAAAAUUACGGAAAAAUAUUUUUUAUGUAUGAAAUACAUGUAUAUAUGUUUGACCAAAGGAUAAAAAAAUAAUAAGUUGAUUUGGUAUUUUUCGUGAAAAAGAAUAGUGAUUUCGGGAUACUGAAAUAAAAUCCGUCUUACUGAAAUGGUAUUUCGGUUUACUAAGAUGUUAUCUAAUUUACUAGGAUAACAUAUAAAAAUGAAUAACUUAUAAGUAUAAGUUAUGAUGUGAUUAAAAGAAUAUCAAAGUAUAAUAAGAAUAUUAAGACUUAAACCUAUUGUCUAAUACUUAACUAUAUGUUAUGACUAACCGAAAGAUCUAUUAUAGGUUUUAUAUGCUGUAUAGACUGAUAGGAUUAUGUGUUUAAGUUAUUUUAUAACGGUGAUGAUAUUAUUCUAAUAUUGGAGAUCUAUAUUAUUAAUAUUAGGUCUUUAGGAGAAGCGUAUUAUAUUGCGUUACGGUAAUCAACGGUUCAGGCAAGUUUUUUUUCAAGUUCUUUUUACUUAAACUCUUUUAAGAGUAGUUUCAGACAGAUAUGCUUAUGAAUUAUACUCUGUACAUCUUGCAUGUAUAAGUCAGGUAUGAAAGGCUGAUCACCUUCAUUACCAGUCAGUUCAGAUAUAAUUGUUAUGUUCAUUUUCAAUGUUCAUUCAGCUUUGAAAUUUUGUUCAUGCUAAUUCACAACUACAUUGUGAAGGAUAGCCAGCUUAUUAUUCAAACUCUUUCAAUCAUGAUAUAUCUUUACCUUGUUUUUUUUAAACUUGCUGGGCAACUUUCAUGCUCACCCUUGCUAUAUCAUGAUAAAACAUUGCAGAUAAGGCGAAUACGGCCAGAUACAGGAAAAGGAUAAUGACAAGUUCAGCUUGGGAUAGAAUGUGAAGUUAAGUUGUAAAGUAUGUUGAAGAAUAGUAUUGUCAUGUGUUAGACAGUCAUGAUUGUGUAUACGUUAAGGUUACUCGAUUUUGGAAAUAGUGUGUAAAGUUUAAUGUAUAAACAAUUUAUGUUUAUAUCUUCCGCAAACAGUUGUAGAAUGAUUGUACCGAAUCCGCGGCGAUUUGGAACCUGGAUUUGGGGCCGUUACAGGUCCAAUCCACCCAACCCAUUCUGAGUCGCCAAAUACAUGGUACAGAAAAUAACUACAACUUCAUUAUCACAAUUUUCAUGCAAAAUACAAC